RNAcentral lists this ribosomal RNA (583 nucleotides) under uncultured fungus. RNAcentral describes it as "eukaryotic LSU rRNA". It matches the Rfam family "Eukaryotic large subunit ribosomal RNA", at positions 40 to 562 of the family's 3401-position model. The record is from RNAcentral. Lineage: Eukaryota; Fungi.
AUAUCAGUAAGCGGAGGAAAAGAAAACAAAAGUGAUUCCAUUAGUAGCUGCGAGCGAACCUGGACAGGCUCAAAACCGAAUCGGGCGCCCUUGAGUGGACGUGCUGAAAUGUAGUUUACCGGAUGGUCCUCGGCAAUAGGGAGUUUGGGUAAGUCUGUUGGAACACAGCGCCACAGAGGGUGAUAGCCCCGUUCCUGGAUUCCCUGGAGCCAACACGUGGGCUUUCCGCAGAGUCACACUGUUUGAGAGUACAGUGUAAAGACGGCAGGUGAACCCCUGUUAAAGCUAAAUACCACCUACACACCGAUAGCGAACAAGUAGCGCAAGCGAAAGUUGCAAAGAACUUUGAAAAGAGAGUUAAAAGACCUGAAACCACACGCGGGGAAGGGCUGGGUCGAGUUGCGCGUAGUGGCGACUCAAGUCUUGUGCUGGCUGAGGCCUGGAUGCUGCUCACCUGUCCUAUGGCAGGGAGUGUCACCAGCGUCGGCUGGGCAGGAUGGCAUUUCGCCACAGCGGCAAGCAUGGUUGCGGGCACAGGAAGCUAGCUGGGGGGGUGCAUCCACUUGCUUCGGCAAGAGGUCCC